RNAcentral lists this ribosomal RNA (254 nucleotides) under uncultured bacterium. Its description in RNAcentral is "partial 16S ribosomal RNA". It matches the Rfam family "Bacterial small subunit ribosomal RNA", at positions 524 to 776 of the family's 1533-position model. The record is from RNAcentral.
CACGUAGGCACCAAGCGUUAUCCGGAUUUAUUGGGCGUAAAGAGCUCGUAGGCGGUUCGGUAAGUCGGGUGUGAAAACUCUAGGCUCAACCUAGAGAGGCCACUCGAUACUGCCGUGACUAGAGUACGGUAGGGGAGCGGGGAAUUUCUGGUGUAGCGGUGAAAUGCGCAGAUAUCAGAAGGAACACCAGUGGCGAAGGCGCCGCUCUGGGCCGUAACUGACGCUGAGGAGCGAAAGCAUGGGUAGCAAACAGG